Molecule: ribosomal RNA, 468 nt
Filed under: uncultured bacterium
Lineage: Bacteria
Description: partial 16S ribosomal RNA
Rfam family: Bacterial small subunit ribosomal RNA
Source: RNAcentral
GACGAACGCUGGCGGCGCGCCUAACACAUGCAAGUCGAACGGAGCGGAGAGAAUCUUGCUGUUCUUAGCUUAGGGGCGAACGGGUGAGUAACGCGUGAGUAACCUGCCCUGGUGGGGGGGACAACGGUUGGAAACGACUGCUACUACCGCAUAAGCCCGCGACCCGGUGUCGGUUGGAGGGAAAAGGAUUUAUUCGCUUCAGGCUGGGCUCGCGUCCAAUUAGCUAGGUGGGGGGGUAACGGCACACCAAGGCGACGACUGGUCGUCGGACGGUGAGGGUGCACGGCCGCAUUGGGACUGGGCCACGGCCCCGACUCCUACGGGAGGCAGCGGUUGGGGCUCUUGGACAGUGGGCCAGAUCCUGCUGCGGCGUCGGCGGGUGGAGGACCAAGGUUUUCGGAUUCUAAAUCCCUCUUGUCAGAGACGAUAAUGACGGUACCUAAUAAGAAAGCACCGGCUAACUACGUG